RNAcentral lists this ribosomal RNA (493 nucleotides) under uncultured bacterium. RNAcentral's name for it is "partial 16S ribosomal RNA". It matches the Rfam family "Bacterial small subunit ribosomal RNA", at positions 28 to 507 of the family's 1533-position model. The record is from RNAcentral.
GACGAACGCUGGCGGCGUGCUUAACACAUGCAAGUCGAACGGUGAAGGGACCGGUUCUUGCUGGUUCUGGAUGAGUGGCGAACGGGUGAGUAACACGUGAGUAACCUGCCCCCUUCUUCUGGAUAACCGCAUGAAAGUGUGGCUAAUACGGGAUAUUCUGCGCCUGCUGCAUGGUGGGUGUGGGAAAGAUAUUGUUUCGGUGGGGGAUGGGCUCGCGGCCUAUCAGCUUGUUGGUGGGGUGAUGGCCUACCAAGGCGGUGACGGGUAGCCGGCCUGAGAGGGUGGACGGUCACACUGGGACUGAGACACGGCCCAGACUCCUACGGGAGGCAGCAGUGGGGAAUAUUGCACAAUGGGCGCAAGCCUGAUGCAGCGACGCCGCGUGAGGGAUGGAGGCCUUCGGGUUGUAAACCUCUUUCGCCAGUGAAGCAGGCCUGUCCCUUUUGUGGGUGGGUUGACGGUAGCUGGAUAAGAAGCGCCGGCUAACUACGUG